This 442-nucleotide ribosomal RNA is filed under the name uncultured bacterium. RNAcentral's name for it is "bacterial SSU rRNA". It matches the Rfam family "Bacterial small subunit ribosomal RNA", at positions 30 to 468 of the family's 1533-position model. The record is from RNAcentral.
AUUGAACGCUGGCGGAAUGCUUUACACAUGCAAGUCGAACGGUAGAGGGGGCAACCCCUUGAGAGUGGCGAACGGGUGAGUAAUAUAUCGGAACGUGCCCAGUCGUGGGGGAUAACGUAGCGAAAGUUACGCUAAUACCCGCAUACGAUCUAAGGAUGAAAGCGGGGGACUCGCAAGAGCCUCGCGCGAUUGGAGCGGCCGAUAUCAGAUUAGGUAGUUGGUGGGGUAACGGCUCACCAAGGCGACGAUCGGUAGGGGGUGUGAGAGCAUGACCCCCCANACGGGUACUGAGACACGGACCCGACUCCUACGGGAGGCAGCAGUAAGGAACUAUUGGGACAAUGGAGGGAACUCUGAUCCAGCCAUGCCCGCGUGAAGGGAUGAAGGCGCUCAGCGUUGUAAACUUCUUUGGAUGGGAACAAUAACUUCUACGUGUAGGAGC